GCUGCCUGAGCUCCCCAGGGGUGGCAGGGUGUGGAGGGGGAUGUGUGCACAGCGUGCACGUGGCUCCCAGUCGCAUUCCGCCGAACAGCUCUGGGGAAUGUCCUCUGACCACCCUGAGAAGGAAGCAGGCCUCCCUGAGCUCCAGGGCAGGCUCUGCACUCGCCCUGCCUGGCAGGCAAGCCUGAAACAGGACGUCUUCCCGCAGCAGGAAUGAAGUGGUCCAUCCUCAGGAACUGAGAUUUUCAGGAGCGGGGCUGGAGCCGACCUAAUAGACUCAGCUCAACCAUGGACCCUGGAUGCUGGGAGGUGCUGAGCAUGGCACUGCUGGGGAAACACGUAUAGGUGCAGGUGCCAGACCAGGGCCUCAUGUGUCCAAUGCUGACGGCACCUCCACAGGAGGAUCCACACGAUGCCUGGAGCACCAUGGACAGGCCUGAACGAUGCUCACACCCUGCAGCUCAAACUGAGUGCCGUGCAGGACGGACCUCACCAGAGGACUCCUCACACUACAUCCUCAACCCCAGUGUAAGCGAGAAAUAAAUAUGACAUGAAAUAAA
Manis javanica (Malayan pangolin) is the source of this 557-nucleotide long non-coding RNA. RefSeq lists it as uncharacterized. The record is from RefSeq and is a predicted model, not a curated record. NCBI's taxonomy places the organism in Eukaryota, Metazoa, Chordata, Mammalia, Pholidota, Manidae.